RNAcentral lists this transfer RNA (74 nucleotides) under Laccaria bicolor S238N-H82. RNAcentral describes it as "tRNA-Lys (CTT) (tRNA-Lys-CTT-3-1)". It matches the Rfam family "tRNA". From Rfam's summary of the family: Transfer RNA (tRNA) molecules are approximately 80 nucleotides in length. Their secondary structure includes four short double-helical elements and three loops (D, anti-codon, and T loops). Lineage: Eukaryota; Fungi; Basidiomycota; Agaricomycetes; Agaricales; Hydnangiaceae. The record is from RNAcentral.
GCCCGCCUAGCUCAAUCGGAUAGAGCGUCAGACUCUUAAUCUGAAGGCUGCGAGUUCGACCCUCGUGGUGGGCU